GGGCCCGUAGCUCAGUGGCAGAGCGUCCGGCUCAUAACCGGCUGGUCGUAGGUUCGAACCCUGCCGGGCCCA
This 72-nucleotide transfer RNA is filed under the name Chloroflexota bacterium. RNAcentral's name for it is "Chloroflexi bacterium tRNA-Met". It matches the Rfam family "tRNA". From Rfam's summary of the family: Transfer RNA (tRNA) molecules are approximately 80 nucleotides in length. Their secondary structure includes four short double-helical elements and three loops (D, anti-codon, and T loops). The record is from RNAcentral. Lineage: Bacteria; Bacillati; Chloroflexota.